CAGUCGCCGCGGGAAUACAGAGGGUGCGAGCGUUAAUCGGAUUUACUGGGCGUAAAGCGUGCGUAGGCGGCUUUUUAAGUCGGAUGUGAAAUCCCUGAGCUUAACUUAGGAAUUGCAUUCGAUACUGGGAAGCUAGAGUAUGGGAGAGGAUGGUAGAAUUCCAGGUGUAGCGGUGAAAUGCGUAGAGAUCUGGAGGAAUACCGGUGGCGAAGGCGGCCCCCUGGACAAAGACUGACGCUCAGGUGCGAAAGCGUGGGGAGCAAACAGGAUUAGAGACCCCUGUAGUCCCUGUCUCUUAUAC
RNAcentral lists this ribosomal RNA (301 nucleotides) under uncultured bacterium. RNAcentral describes it as "partial 16S ribosomal RNA". It matches the Rfam family "Bacterial small subunit ribosomal RNA", at positions 509 to 807 of the family's 1533-position model. The record is from RNAcentral.